RNAcentral lists this ribosomal RNA (760 nucleotides) under uncultured bacterium. RNAcentral describes it as "bacterial SSU rRNA". It matches the Rfam family "Bacterial small subunit ribosomal RNA", at positions 556 to 1313 of the family's 1533-position model. The record is from RNAcentral.
GGGCGUAAAGAGCUCGUAGGCGGUUUGUCGCGUCUGCCGUGAAAGUCCGGGGCUUAACUCCGGAUCUGCGGUGGGUACGGGCAGACUAGAGUGCAGUAGGGGAGACUGGAAUUCCUGGUGUAGCGGUGGAAUGCGCAGAUAUCAGGAGGAACACCGAUGGCGAAGGCAGGUCUCUGGGCUGUAACUGACGCUGAGGAGCGAAAGCAUGGGGAGCGAACAGGAUUAGAUACCCUGGUAGUCCAUGCCGUAAACGUUGGGCACUAGGUGUGGGGGCCAUUCCACGGUUUCCGCGCCGCAGCUAACGCAUUAAGUGCCCCGCCUGGGGAGUACGGCCGCAAGGCUAAAACUCAAAGGAAUUGACGGGGGCCCGCACAAGCGGCGGAGCAUGCGGAUUAAUUCGAUGCAACGCGAAGAACCUUACCAAGGCUUGACAUGUUCUCGUUCGCCGUAGAGAUACGGUUUCCCCUUUGGGGCGGGUUCACAGGUGGUGCAUGGUUGUCGUCAGCUCGUGUCGUGAGAUGUUGGGUUAAGUCCCGCAACGAGCGCAACCCCUGUUCUAUGUUGCCAGCACGUGAUGGUGGGGACUCAUGGGAGACUGCCGGGGUCAACUCGGAGGAAGGUGGGGACGACGUCAAAUCAUCAUGCCCCUUAUGUCUUGGGCUUCACGCAUGCUACAAUGGCCGGUACAAUGGGUUGCGAUACUGUGAGGUGGAGCUAAUCCCAAAAAGCCGGUCUCAGUUCGGAUUGGGGUCUGCAACUC